Molecule: unclassified non-coding RNA, 153 nt
Filed under: soil metagenome
Description: partial internal transcribed spacer 1
Source: RNAcentral
ACGAGUUUUAAUUGUUAGGUUAGAGUUGAGCUGGUUAAUCUAAUUAAUAUGUGCUUACUCUAAUCGAAACAAGUCCACUCAUUACUUAACACUUGUGAACUUAUCAUUACAAACAUAUUAUUGUUAUUGGAACGUUGAUAUUAAAAGUUAAUA